RNAcentral lists this ribosomal RNA (1399 nucleotides) under uncultured marine bacterium. RNAcentral's name for it is "bacterial SSU rRNA". It matches the Rfam family "Bacterial small subunit ribosomal RNA". The record is from RNAcentral.
GAGUUUGAUCCUGGCUCAGGAUGAACGCUAGCGGCAGGCCUAAUACAUGCAAGUCGAGGGGUAACAGAGAGUGCUUGCACUCUGCUGACGACCGGCGCACGGGUGAGUAACACGUAUGCAACCUACCUUUUACUGGGGGAUAGCCAAGAGAAAUUUUGAUUAAUACCCCAUACGAUCUAAUUAUUUCAUGAUAAAUAGAUGAAAGCUUCGGCGGUAAAAGAUGGGCAUGCGACCUAUUAGUUUGUUGGUAAGGUCACGGCUUACCAAGACUACGAUAGGUAGGGGUCCUGAGAGGGAGAUCCCCCACACUGGUACUGAGACACGGACCAGACUUCUACGGGAGGCAGCAGUAAGGAAUAUUGGACAAUGGAGGAAACUCUGAUCCAGCCAUGCCGCGUGCAGGAAGAAUGCCUUAUGGGUUGUAAACUGCUUUUAUACAGGAAGGAAACUUGGUAUGUAUACCAAUUUGACGGGACUGUAAGAAUAAGGAUCGGCUAACUCCGUGCCAGCAGCCGCGGUAAUACGGAGGAUCCAGGCGUUAUCCGGAAUCAUUGGGUUUAAAGGGUCCGCAGGCGGUUUGAUAAGUCAGAGGUGAAAUCCUACAGCUCAACUGUAGAAUUGCCUUUGAUACUGUUAAACUUGAGUUAUUGUGAAGUAAUUAGAAUGUGUAGUGUAGCGGUGAAAUGCAUAGAUAUUACACAGAAUACCGAUUGCGAAAGCAGAUUACUAACAAUACACUGACGCUGAGGGACGAAAGCGUGGGUAGCGAACAGGAUUAGAUACCCUGGUAGUCCACGCCGUAAACGAUGGAUACUAGCUGUUUGAAGCACAUUGGUGUGUUGAGUGGCUAAGCGAAAGUGAUAAGUAUCCCACCUGGGGAGUACGCUCGCAAGAGUGAAACUCAAAGUAAUUGACGGGGGCCCGCACAAGCGGUGGAGCAUGUGGUUUAAUUCGAUGCAACGCGAAGAACCUUACCUACACUUGACAUCAUCAGAACUUGUUAGAGAUAACUCGGUGCCUUCGGGAACUGAUAGACAGGUGCUGCAUGGCUGUCGUCAGCUCGUGUCGUGAGAUGUUGGGUUAAGUCCCGCAACGAGCGCAACCCCUAUCCUUAGUUGCCAGCGAUUCGGUCGGGAACUCUAAGGAGACUGCCGGUGAUAAACCGGAGGAAGGUGGGGAUGACGUCAAGUCAUCAUGGCCCUUAUGUGUAGGGCUACACACGUGCUACAAUGGACGGUACAGAGGGUUGCCAACCCGCGAGGGGGAGCUAAUCCCAGAAAGCCGUUCUCAGUCCGGAUCGAAGUCUGCAACUCGACUUCGUGAAGUCGGAAUCGCUAGUAAUCGCGAAUCAGCAAUGUCGCGGUGAAUACGUUCCCGGGCCUUGUACUCACCGCCCGUC